RNA transcript from Dreissena polymorpha, 3558 nucleotides. RefSeq lists it as uncharacterized. The transcript has 14 exons. The record is from RefSeq and is a predicted model, not a curated record. NCBI's taxonomy places the organism in Eukaryota, Metazoa, Mollusca, Bivalvia, Myida, Dreissenidae.
CUCUCGUCUGUCAACGUCGCUGCCCAUGAAAUACACGUUGCAUGUUGCAGACACACUUAGGAAACAGUUGAUAACCACAAAAGGAAUGGGCGCGAUCGCGAAAUGGCUUUUCAUCCAGAAGAGAAAGAGAACUCGCUACAAAUAGGCACUACUUUCGACAAUCACCACGUGAAGCAAAUAUCUUAGUGUGUUUUCACCAUAAAUCAGCCAAUCGUGAUGCAGCGACUAUUUCCGGAAUCCCCGGCAAAAUGGGAAAAUUACCAUAACUAUUUCCGAAAUCCCUCCCAAAAUGUGAAAAUUACCAUAAUUAACCAGACAUACGCGCAUGCCCACAACAUAGUCCGCAUACACAGCAACUCUGAGUCUCUUCGCAAGUGCAUUUACGCUACAGUACAGUGCACACAGCAUACAUUCAUUUAUCUCUUGCGCUUAUCAUCACCGCUCAAUAACAAAUCACUCAAAACACAAUAUGAAAUCCGCUUCGAACUACUUUCCACAUCCACUUCUACUUUCCUUUUGCUUUCACGAGGAUGCCCCUUUCAGUUUCACUUUACUGGCGAAAUCCGCAAUUACAUGACUUUGCUCACAUACGCACGCAAAUUAACAAAGCAACAUAUCACAUACAUAGAAUAAAUACAGAAAUAACAACGUACUAAAUCACUUGGCUUAUAUCUAAAAAAUCAGUGCCAUCAAAUGCCCCUCAUACGCGCUAUUCGCUAUGUCGACAACAGCCCUUUCAACAUAGUAGUACAUAGCCCUACAGCAACAACAACAAGCGCGCGCCAAAUAUGGCCGAUUGAGGAAAGACACGAUGGAUUUCUCGCAAGUUAGCAGUCAGAAUAGCUUUGUAUCAAUGUAUAAUGCACACCAACUCGUUAGAUGACCAUUUACCACGUGAAUACAACUGCACGGAGUAUUUGGACGUGAUAAGACUGGAAGUACCUUGCUAGCGCCACGUGCGACGAAAGGGCUCCAGAACUCCUGUAUUUUCAUGGGAAGGUAACCAUCCCGUCCUUGCUGUCUCAUGAAGUCGGAUUGCCAAUAGUGCAUGGAAAGCCGGUUGUAAAGGCUACAAAAGCUCCAACUUGCAAAGACCUGCCAAUGCAAGAUCAACCAAUCAAAAUUCAGCAGCCAACUAACAGUGAACCAAUCAAAGUUCAGCAUUCAGUGGAAGUGCAGACCAGUUUCAUUGAGCUCAAUCCACCAACUUUACAACAGACAAAGGAGAGCUUACCUCAUCCUGGUCCUGUCACACAUGCCUACGAACUUUGGCUGAAGGCUGGGUCAGCGAGUACGCUGAGUCAUGACGUCACCGCUGCGGUGGCUAUGACAAUCACGUGCAGUGACGGGACGGACCAAAUCACCAGCAGUUACAAUGUGGACAUUUUUGACGCGGUUCCCGUUCCGACCAAUUUUGCCGGUACUUCCGGUCCGCUUGGAGACCUAUCGCUAGUGGGCACUUCUGUUCACCAGUUCACCAUAACCGACCAAGAUGACGCCAUUUCCUUUUCCAUCAACGCUCAGGAGGUCGCAAAGUUUGGCAUCACCAAGGUGGACACCGCUACCGGAGCUCAACGGUUCGACGUCAUGACGAUUGCCACGCUUGAUUACGACUCUGCUACGAGUUACACGAUCACCGUCACGUGUACUGACGCUAUCAACCCUGUGACGUCAUCAAGGACCAUCAACUUAGCAGAUGACAAACCCGUUUUCUCCGGACUUCCGGCUACGUUGUCGCCGGCACGUAACGACGGCUUUCAGACGGCGAUGUUACUUUGCACGUUCAGCGUCACGGACGCCAACGACCAGAGUAUUAUCACGUGCUUGAUACAGGCGCCGAUGGACAGCUUCUUAAACCUGGUUCCCGUCAAGGUGCCGACAUUUGCGAUCUGGGUCAAAGCCAGUGUGACGUUGGACUCAGCGUCAUCACUCUCCUCGUUAACGUCCAGUGCGUUGACGACAGAUCGCCCGCGAAUACCAUUACCGAAACGUUCACUGUUCCCUUAUUUGACGAGGAAUUUAAAGCUGGUUCGGUGGCUGUGCGACGCCAUUGGGGAAGUUCACAACUACGGACCCGGAUACGACAUGUUCUGUGACGUUACCUGUGACAACAGUCUAUGAGAUCAGAAAAGUGGCGUCACUGACCGAUCCCCAGAAACCGGAGUUCGAAGUGUGGAUCAGUAACGCCGUUACCCAGGCGUCUAUCGACUUCAAUGACCAGGCUGUUCCGCUGCCGCUAACAAUCAAGUGCACAGACGGAAACGUUGUCAAUGACAUCACGGGGACGUUUAACGUCAACAUCGUCGACUCGCCACUGGUUUUCACUGCACUGCCUGCUACCGGAUCUAACAUUUUCGACGGUCUCAAACACGCCACCGAAACCCUUCACACAUUCAGCGUCACCGAUAGCGACGACACCGUUACGUGCUCUGCAAGAGCGCCGGAAAACGCCCUUUUUGAAGUGGUCGCCGGCGUGGCACCAAGUAAUAAACUGGAAAAAUCAAUACCAAUUUAAUCCUCGUUCUGGGAAAACUGGGCUUAAUGCAUGUGCUUUAAAAGUGGUCUCUGAGCGGACCCAGGCUAAAAGGAUUUACAGUUAACAUAAAGAUGGGGGUUACGCUAAGAGCAGCGAACGGACCUUACGUCAUCAACGUCGACUGCUCAAAUGGCGACAAUGACGUCACUGGGACGUUCACAAAACCAGUGAUCGAUACGCCGCCGACCUUUGUGUCCGGGAUCCCCUGAAGUUCCCCCAACGUAUCUGACGCUACCGUCAAGCAGACGUUACUCGGGAAGUUUAAAACUACAGACCCAGAUACGGCGCGCUCUGUGACGUCACCAUCCACCACCGUGUAUGAGAUCAGAAAUGUGACGUCACCGGUAAAUGUAUCUCAGCCAGGAAAUCCUCCAGUAAGGAUAAGAAGUUUAUCGCGGCUGAUGUUGACACAUAUCUCUAUGAGGUUGGGGGAACAUUGGUGAACGCUGCCUGCCCGACUACACGAACAUGUUGGCUCUGUACAAGGUCAACCCCAACGCUGAGUAGGUCUUGAAACACAGACAACGCAUGAAAGCCGAUUAACCGCGUCUUAAAAUUGUUCGACAGAGACUGAAAUUUUGCUGGCAGAGAGAAUGGGCAAAACCUCGUAUUUAGCUGUUCUGACAAAAGCCCUCCAUCCCAUUUCUUUGCAUAGCUCUCAUUUCCAUUUAGAGCUCCAAUAACUAUUUUGAGCUCCCAUUUCUAUUUAGAGCUCACUUGUGUUUUUAGAGCCCUAAUGUCUGUUUAGAGCUCCAAUUUAUAUGUAUUGCUCCCAUUACUAUUUAAAGCUUCUUUGUUAUUGUAUUUUUUCUGCAAAGUAUUAUACAUGUAUUAUAAUUACUGAUGCUGGCCCUUUUUGACCCAUAUCCGACAGUGUUGUCUCAUUACAUUUAAUGUUAUGUGCAUCACAAAUGUUGCGCUAAGUUAUUUCUUGUGUUUGUAUACUAGAUGAUUAUUAGGAAUAUGUACUAUAAUAGUAAAUAUGGCUAUACACAUGUUAUUAAAUACGUCUGAAGAUUAAA